GAGCCACCCACCAUGCCCGGCCGGUGGGGUGCCUUAGGAUCGGGCCUUCUAACUCUGUCCCUACCUCUCUCCAGAUGCCACAGGGACCAGUGGGCUCCGGGUCCUGCCCCAGGGCUACGGCUGGAACCUGCUGUAUGGCUCCCUGCUGCUGGGCCUUGUGGGUGGGGUCUGCACCCUGGGAGCCGGCCUCUACGCCCGGGCCUCAUUCCUGACAUUCCUGCUGGUCUCCGGCUCCCUGGCCUCCGUGCUUAUCAGCUUUGUGGCUGUGGGGCCGAGGGACAUCCGCUUGACCCCUCGGCCUGGCCCCAAUGGCUCCUCCCUGCCACCCCGGUUUGGCCACUUCACCGGCUUCAACAGCAAUACCCUGAAGGACAACUUGGGUGGUGAGCUGGGCACUGCCGUGGCAGGGAUCUCAGGGUGAGGGGUGGGCAGGCGUCGGGGCUGGGCCCUUAAAAAAAUCUCUGGAUGAGCACAGGUGUCAGAGGGACUGGAGGGCAGGAGGUCUGGACUGCAGAGCAGUGCAAUUUAAUUCAAGCCUGUCUAGUGUGUGCUUGGCCGGUGGGGCAGGAGGAAGCCCACAAAACAGUCCCUGCUUUAGAGGAACUUGUGUUCUAGCUGAGGAGAGACGUGCAUUCAGGAAUCAGUUAAAUAGCACAGGAAGGCCCAGCAUGACUUAAACAGAUCAGGAUCUCCCAUGAGUGGAGAGAAGGGAGGCCUGACUAUGGGCUGGGGAGGGCAGGAGCUGGGGAGCUGGAGGUGGCCUGAGAUAGAUGGGUGGGGGAUUCAGUCAGGAGCUGGGAGCAGAGAGAGAAGGCAUCUCAGGAAAGAGCUUGAGACCACGUGCGGUGGCUCACGCCUGUAAUCCCAGCAUUCUGGGAGGCCGAGGCAGGAGGAUCACCUGAGGUCAGGAGUUUGAGACCAGUCAGGUCAACAUGGUGAAACCCUCUCCCCGUCUCUACUAAAACCACAAAAAUUAGCUGGGCAUGCUGGCUUGCACCUGUAGUGCCAGAUACUCGGGAAGCUGAGGGAGAAUUGCUUGAACCCAGGAGGAGGAGGUUUCAGUGAGCCGAGAUUGCGCCAUUGCACUCCAGCCUGGGUGACAGAGUGAGGUUCCGUCUUCAAAAAAAAAAAAAAAAAUUAAAUAAAAAUACAAAAAUUACCCAGGGGUGGUGGUGUGCGCCUGUAGUCCCAGCUACUCAGGAGGCUGAGGCAUGAGAAUCUCUUGAACCCGGGAGGCAGAGGCUGCAGUGAGCUAAGAUCGCCACCACUGCCCUGCAGCCUGGGCUUCAGAACGAGACUCCGUCUCAAAAAAAUAAAUAGGCUGGGUGCAGUGGCUCCCGCCUGUAAUUCCAGGACUUUCGGAGGUCGAGGCGGGUGGAUCACCUGAGGCCAGGAGUUCGAGAUCAGCCUGGCCAACAUGGUGAAACCCAAUCUCUACUAAAAAUACAAAAAUUAGCCAGGCGUGGUGGUGGGCACCUGUAAUCCCAGCUACCUGAGAGGCUGAGGCAGGGGAAUUGCUUGAACCUGGGAGGCAGAGGUUGCAGUGAGCCGAGAUCGCACCACUGCACUCUGGCCUGGGUGACACAGUGAGAAUCCGUCUGAAAAUAAAUAAAUAAAUAAAAUUAAAAAGUUAGAUGGGCAUGGUGGUGCACACCUGUAGUCCCAGCUACUUGGCAGACUGACGCAGGAGGAUCGCUCUAGCCCAGGAGGUAGAGGUUGCAGUGAGCUACCAUGGUGCCACUGCACUCCAGCCUGGAAGACAGAGCGAGACCCUGUCUCUAAAAAAUAAAUAAAUAAAUAAAAGGGCGUGGAUUAGGGUCUGGAGGGAGGAAUAUCGGAGCACUGGGGGGAUGUGGCAAUGUGUCUGGCGGACCCAGGGCCAGUGCAGGAACAGGCUGGGGUCUUAGUGAGGGCAGUGCAGGGGAGGCAAGAGGACCGUGGGAAUGUGUGGAGAGGGUGGCUAAGAGGCCUGGAUCCCUGAGAGGGAUGCUGAUGCGCUCUCCUCCCUGGGAGGAUCCUCCUAGCUGGCUAUGCUGAGGACUACACCACGGGAGCCAUGAUGAAUUUUGCCAGCGUCUUUGCUGUCCUCUUUAACGGCUGUACAGGCAUCAUGGCUGGGGCCAACAUGUCAGGGGAGCUGAAGGACCCCAGCCGGGCGAUCCCUCUGGGCACGAUCGUCGCCGUCGCCUACACCUUCUUCGUCUAUGUCCUGCUUUUCUUUCUCUCCAGCUUCACUUGUGGCAGGACCCUGCUGCAGGAAGACUAUGGGUUCUUCCGCGCCAUCAGCCUGUGGCCCCCACUGGUGUUGAUCGGAAUCUAUGCCACGGCACUCUCAGCAUCCAUGAGCUCGCUCAUUGGUGCCUCCCGCAUCCUCCAUGCCCUGGCCCGGGAUGACCUCUUUGGAGUGAUCUUGGCACCAGCCAAGGUUGUGUCCCGAGGGGGAAACCCCUGGGCGGCUGUACUGUAUUCUUGGGGACUGGUGCAGCUGGUGCUCCUGGCUGGGAAGCUGAACACGCUGGCCGCUGUGGUCACUGUCUUCUAUCUGGUGGCCUAUGCUGCCGUGGACCUGUCCUGCCUGAGCCUGGAGUGGGCCUCGGCCCCCAACUUCCGCCCCACCUUCAGCCUGUUCUCCUGGCACACCUGCCUGCUGGGGGUGGCCUCCUGCCUGCUCAUGAUGUUCCUCAUCAGUCCUGGCGCGGCCGGUGGCUCCCUGCUCCUCAUGGGUCUGCUGGCUGCCCUGCUCACCGUGCGAGGAGGCCCCAGUAGCUGGGGCUAUGUCAGCCAGGCCUUGCUUUUCCACCAGGUGCGUAAGUAUCUGCUCCGGCUGGACGUCCGGAAGGAUCACGUGAAGUUCUGGCGGCCCCAGCUGCUGCUCCUGGUGGGGAACCCCCGGGGUUCCCUGCCUCUGCUGCGGUUGGCCAACCAGCUUAAGAAGGGGGGGCUCUACGUGCUGGGCCACGUCACUCUGGGAGACCUCGACUCCCUACCCUCGGACCCUGUACAGCCGCAGUACGGGGCAUGGCUCAGCCUGGUGGACCGUGCCCAGGUGAAGGCUUUUGUGGAUCUAACCCUCUCACCCUCCGUGCGCCAGGGGGCUCAGCAUCUGCUGCGAAUCUCUGGCCUCGGUGGCAUGAAGCCCAACACGUUGGUCCUGGGUUUCUACGAUGACACUCCACCGCAGGACCAUUUCCUGACGGACCCGGCUUUCUCUGAGCCUGCAGACAGCACCAGGGAGGGCAGUUCCCCAGCUCUGAGCACCCUGUUCCCUCCUCCCCGGGCUCCUGGGAGCCCCCGGGCUCUCAGUCCCCAGGACUACGUGGCCACGGUGGCCGAUGCCCUCAAGAUGAACAAGAAUGUGGUGCUGGCCCGGGCCAGCGGGGCCUUGCCCCCUGAGCGGCUGAGCCGGGGGUCUGGGGGCACCUCUCAGCUGCACCACGUGGACGUGUGGCCCCUCAACCUGCUGCGGCCCCGGGGUGGGCCCGGCUACGUGGAUGUCUGCGGUCUCUUCCUGCUGCAGAUGGCAACCAUCUUGGGCAUGGUGCCCGCUUGGCAUAGUGCCCGGCUCCGGAUCUUCCUGUGCCUGGGGCCUCGGGAGGCGCCUGGGGCUGCCGAGGGGCGGCUGCGGGCACUGCUGAGCCAACUGAGGAUCCGGGCUGAGGUGCAGGAGGUGGUGUGGGGCGAGGGGGCCGGGGCUGGGGAACCCGAGGCGGAGGAGGAAGGGGACUUUGUGAACAGUGGGUGGGGAGACGCAGAGGCAGAGGCCCUGGCACGCAGCGCCAACGCCCUGGUUCGGGCCCAGCAGGGGCGCGGCACAGGAGGAGGGCCGGGUGGACCGGAGGGUGGGGAUGCUGAGGGCACCACCACAGCCCUCACCUUCCUGUACUUGCCUCGGCCACCAGCCGAUCCCGCCCGAUACCCCCGCUACCUAGCUCUACUGGAGACUCUAACCCGAGACCUGGGCCCCACGCUGCUGGUUCAUGGGGUCACUCCAGUCACCUGCACUGAUCUCUGAUGCCCCUGCCUCCAGGGCUAGGUAGAGAGGGCCCAGGCAGGCGGCCUAUCCUGAUCCUUGGAGGAGGAAGAGGAGGAGGGAAGCACUGUGUCCCAUGGCCCUGCUCUUGGGAGGUGGAGCCCAGGGGAGGUUUGAAGGGGAUCCUGGGCUUGGGCAUCACGCCCACCUCCUUUGGCAGAGGGACCCCAGCACACUAACUCUGGGCGGCUGUCCCCACCGUGCAGGGGAAGGAGUCCGCAGCCUCCCUUCACUGGUGCCUUGACGCUAGGGGCCAGGCCUCCUCCGUGACUCUGGGCUACCUCAGUUUCCCCAUUUUGGCAAGACUCACCGGCCCACUGGGGUGGUGAUGUUUUCGUUCUGUUUUAUUUUUCUAACUCUGCUGACCAUGAAUAAAAGACCAAAACACU
Molecule: small RNA, 4419 nt
Filed under: Pongo abelii (Sumatran orangutan)
Lineage: Eukaryota; Metazoa; Chordata; Mammalia; Primates; Hominidae
Description: retained intron
Source: RNAcentral